RNAcentral lists this ribosomal RNA (274 nucleotides) under uncultured soil bacterium. Its description in RNAcentral is "partial 16S ribosomal RNA". It matches the Rfam family "Bacterial small subunit ribosomal RNA", at positions 26 to 285 of the family's 1533-position model. The record is from RNAcentral.
AGAAUCAACGCUGGCGGCGUGCCUAACACAUGCAAGUCGAACGCGAAAGGGGAGCAAUCCCUGAGUAGAGUGGCAAACGGGUGAGUAACACGUGGGUGACCUGCCUUCGAGUGGGGGAUAACGUCCCGAAAGGGACGCUAAUACCGCAUGACAUCCUGCUCUUGGACGAGCGGAGAUCAAAGCUGGGGAUUCGCAAGAACCUGGCGCUUGGAGAGGGGCCCGCGCCUGAUUAGCUAGUUGGUGAGGUAACGGCUCACCAAGGCUACGAUCAGUA